UGAUUAUUAUUUUAAAUAGCUUAAUUUUGUUAAAUUCAUGAUAAUUUCAUUUUUAAUCCAAAAAAUAUGGGACUUUUACCAAAAAUCUUUAAAUAAUUUCCUCUUCCAUAUUUUGAAUUAAAAUCAUUUUUUUUGGAUUAGAUUUGAUAUUUUUGGUAAAUUUAAUAGUUUUUGACUUGUUUUUAAAUAUUUUUAAAUACU
Molecule: long non-coding RNA, 201 nt
Filed under: Lathyrus oleraceus (garden pea)
Lineage: Eukaryota; Viridiplantae; Streptophyta; Magnoliopsida; Fabales; Fabaceae
Description: Pisum sativum (pea) long non-coding RNA (PSAT_LNC029091)
Source: RNAcentral